RNAcentral lists this ribosomal RNA (435 nucleotides) under Cryptosporidium sp. RNAcentral's name for it is "SSU rRNA". It matches the Rfam family "Eukaryotic small subunit ribosomal RNA", at positions 562 to 1025 of the family's 1831-position model. Lineage: Eukaryota; Apicomplexa; Conoidasida; Eucoccidiorida; Cryptosporidiidae. The record is from RNAcentral.
UGGUGCCAGCAGCCGCGGUAAUUCCAGCUCCAAUAGCGUAUAUUAAAGUUGUUGCAGUUAAAAAGCUCGUAGUUGGAUUUCUGUUAAUACUUUAUAUAUAAUAUCUUGUUAUAUUUAUAUAAUAUUAACAUCAUUCAUAUUACUAUUUUUUUUAGUAUAUGAGAUUUUACUUUGAGAAAAUUAGAGUGCUUAAAGCAGGCUUUUGCCUUGAAUACUCCAGCAUGGAAUAAUAUUAAAGAUUUUUAUCUUUCUUAUUGGUUCUAAGAUAAGAAUAAUGAUUAAUAGGGACAGUUGGGGGCAUUUGUAUUUAACAGUCAGAGGUGAAAUUCUUAGAUUUGUUAAAGACAAACUAGUGCGAAAGCAUUUGCCAAGGAUGUUUUCAUUAAUCAAGAACGAAAGUUAGGGGAUCGAAGACGAUCAGAUACCGUCGUAGUC